Long non-coding RNA from Alligator sinensis (Chinese alligator), 308 nucleotides. RefSeq lists it as uncharacterized. NCBI's taxonomy places the organism in Eukaryota, Metazoa, Chordata, Crocodylia, Alligatoridae. The transcript is spliced from 3 exons. The record is from RefSeq and is a predicted model, not a curated record.
UGUCUGUAACUGCAACUCAAGCAAGUUUUCCUGCCUGCACCGCGAUCAUCUUCAGUAGGCUGAGAACAUCCUGGAAGGAGCUGAACUUCUGCACCUCUGUUGUCUUCCAAGGAAGUGGAGGAUACUCAGGCUGGGGACAGAUAUUCAAAAAGCCCAAGCCUGAAUUGAUUAAAUCUUUGCAGCAAACUGACAGCACUCAUAGGCUCCAUGUGUUGCAAACCAGAUCAUUUCUCACACCUGUCUCUGUCCCCUGUUGAACACUGACAGAUUGCAGCCUUUGAAGCAAGCAAGCCAGCAGCCAGCAGGAA